Molecule: ribosomal RNA, 253 nt
Filed under: uncultured bacterium
Lineage: Bacteria
Description: partial 16S ribosomal RNA
Rfam family: Bacterial small subunit ribosomal RNA
Source: RNAcentral
UACGUAGGGUGCGAGCGUUGUCCGGAAUUACUGGGCGUAAAGAGCUCGUAGGUGGUUUGUCGCGUCGGAUGUGAAAACCCAGGGCUCAACCCUGGGCCUGCAUUCGAUACGGGCAGACUAGAGUAUGGCAGGGGGGACUGGAAUUCCUGGUGUAGCGGUGAAAUGCGCAGAUAUCAGGAGGAACACCGGUGGCGAAGGCGGGUCUCUGGGCCAAAACUGACGCUGAGGAGCGAAAGCGUGGGGAGCGAACAGG